GUCCAUUACAGGGUUGAUUCUAUGGGAAGAAAAAAAAGAGUAGAGAGCACAGUGUGCACUGAUUUGAGCUCCUGAAAGAAAGCCACAAUAUACAUUUAAUGAAUAAAUUGCAAUAGUAAUUGCAAUCCCACAUAUCUUCCUGGCUUUGAUCCUUGGUUAAACUAACAAGGGGUUCCUUGAAAGAAGCUAGAAACAAUUUGAGGAGCCAUUGAUCCCCAAGAAUGAAGGUGGAAAAGGAAGAAUGUGGCGUACAGAGUAUAACAAUUUUAUAUAAGAAGAUAAGCAGUCCUUCAUUUUAUCCACAAUCCUUCCUCAAGGAUCAAUAUUUAUGAAAAAUUGUCUCCAAGUCCCAUUUCUCUAAUUCAAUUAUAUCAUGUAGAGCACAA
Molecule: long non-coding RNA, 386 nt
Organism: Pantherophis guttatus
Lineage: Eukaryota; Metazoa; Chordata; Lepidosauria; Squamata; Colubridae
Source: RefSeq, a predicted model, not a curated record